RNAcentral lists this ribosomal RNA (253 nucleotides) under uncultured bacterium. Its description in RNAcentral is "partial 16S ribosomal RNA". It matches the Rfam family "Bacterial small subunit ribosomal RNA", at positions 524 to 776 of the family's 1533-position model. The record is from RNAcentral.
UACGGGGGGAGCAGCGUUGUUCGGAUUUACUGGGCGUAAAGGGCGCGUAGGCGGUCGUGACAAGUCACUUGUGAAAUCUCCGGGCUUAACUCGGAACGGUCAAGUGAUACUGUCGUGCUAGAGUACAGAAGGGGCAACUGGAAUUCUCGGUGUAGCGGUGAAAUGCGUAGAUAUCGAGAGGAACACCUGCGGCGAAGGCGGGUUGCUGGGCUGAUACUGACGCUGAGGCGCGAAAGCUAGGGGAGCGAACGGG